UACGGAGGGGGCAAGCGUUGUUCGGAUUUACUGGGCGUAAAGGGUGUGUAGGCGGCUGGAUAAGUCUGGUGUGAAAUCUUCACCGCUCAACGGGAAGGGGUCACUGGAAACUGUUCAGCUUGAGUAUGGUAGAGGCAAGCGGAAUUCCUGGUGUAGCGGUGGAAUGUGUAGAGAUCCCCAAGAACACCAGUUGCGAAGGCGACAUCCUGGACCGGUAUUGACGCUGAGGCGCGAAAGCCAGGGGAGCAAACGGG
This 254-nucleotide ribosomal RNA is filed under the name uncultured bacterium. Its description in RNAcentral is "partial 16S ribosomal RNA". It matches the Rfam family "Bacterial small subunit ribosomal RNA", at positions 524 to 776 of the family's 1533-position model. The record is from RNAcentral.